CCGAGAAGCCUCCUCUCCGGGUGUGCUUUCCGGAUCCCAGCACUGACUAUGGCCCACGUGACCUUAGAAAGGUCUGGGAUUCUGGAAUCAGGAAACUCUUUCCUGUCGGUUUUUACUCUGUGACCUGGAACACACCCGUGCUCUUCGCUUUAAUUUUCUUCUGAAGGACUGCUCUAAAGAAAGCAAUAGCAAGCUCGUGGCAGAUGGUAGAGGCUUAACAGGAUAAUAGGCUAACAAUCGUGAUCAGAUUGUUCUAAUCAGAUGCUCAACCCACGGCUUUUGUGCAUUAUCGAUCUUUGAGGAAUGCGAGACUGAAGACAGCCCACUCCGGCGGCUCCUUACAGAGGAGAAACGACCACAGUACUCGGCGGCACUCAAGGACGCAAGGCCCCGGCUGAGAUGCUGGGGAAUGUCCUUAAAUCCUAAUCCAUUAUUUCAGCACAGUUGAAUACAGAAAUAGUUGCUCGGUUGGUGGACUUCAGCCAUUUCCCAUGAAGAGGGCGCCAUCUUGUGGCCGGUGUGGUGGACUGACAGGCGAAAGUCUAGGAUUGCGGGUUAUUCCCAGGCCAGGGCUCCCCGUGGGAUCCUGCUUUUCAGCAGGGUGGGUCUGUCCUGAGAUGAUGCAGCCAGCAAGCAAGAAGGGCUGGCUCUGCAGUCCGGGGCCCCUGACUCCUUGACUGAGGAGCGUUUUCAAGCCAACCCUGUGGUACUCAUGGGUCUUGAUGCCCAGAUCACAAACACACGAUGCUCUCUCAAGGCCUCUGGUACCUUCGUUUGCCUGAGCUUGUGUCUCUCCCUCCCGGAGGCAAGAGGCCUCUGCUGUGCUUCCUCACCCGAGGUAACAACAGAACAGAAAGGGACAGCGCCUUCUGGUUUGCAGAGCACCGUUUCCUGCCCUGUGUUCACCAGCAGCGUGCUCAGCGAGCCCUCAUCCAGUGGCUGAUGGAAGCAGAGACAGACAUCCACAGAUAUACACUGAGCUGAAAUCGGGAAUUUAGUUGAAGAGAGGGAGGAAUGAAGAGUGAAGGGGUCUGUACCAGAUUGGAGAAGCCCACAGGAACAAUUGGCCUGAACAAGGGAGAGCACAUCGACCCCAGAUGCUGUUGGGGAGGCCAGUACAAGACUGAUCCAGACCCCUGAACAUGGAUGUCAAUAAGGAGACCUCUGCACUCCAGGGAGCCUCUGGUGGUGGAUUAGUAUUUUUCCCUGGUGCAAGAAGGGACUUUGAGAGCCCAUCCCACGGGUGGGAUGAACGGUUACACUCUGGCCCUGGACACAUGGGGAAGGGCCCCGGACCAGCACAGGAAGAUUUGGUGGACUUUGCUGAGCCCCCAUUGAGACCCCUACCCUGCCUGGGAAGUGCUGGGUGGAUGGGGGGGGCGCUGAGCUGGGGGUGGGGGAGGAGGUGGAGGUGGGGGGAGGGAGAGGGAGAAGGGACUUACAUGUGAAGCUAGCUUGUUCCCUAACUAGAACUAAUAAAAAAAAUUAUGAAAAAAAUAAAAAUAAAAAAAA
Molecule: long non-coding RNA, 1512 nt
Filed under: Cricetulus griseus (Chinese hamster)
Lineage: Eukaryota; Metazoa; Chordata; Mammalia; Rodentia; Cricetidae
Description: lncRNA (ENSCGRG00015030493.1)
Source: RNAcentral